AAUGGCCGCGGUAACUCUGACCGUGAUAAAGUAGCAUAAUCACUCGUCACUUAAUUGGUGACUGGAAUGAAUGGCUAAACGAACCCCCCUCUGUCUCCAAGAAAAUUCCGGCGAACUUGAAAUGACAGUGAAGAUGCUGUCAAGCAACUGUAAGACGAAAAGACCCUAUCGAGCUUUACUGGAAGCUUGCAGAUUUAAAAGGACGUUAACCUGCACGUCUUCAAAAACUGCAAGCCCGACAGUUUGGUUGGGGCGACCACCCCUAAGAAAGUAUCAGGGGAACUCUAAAGGUAAUUACUAAAUGGAAAAUGCCUUACUGAAAACAAACAAGUCAACCAGUUACUAUAGGUAGGACAUAAUGACCCGUUACAUCAAUCACGAAAUGUAACGACCACGAAAAAAGUUACCGUAGGGAUAACAGGGUAAUAUUUUCGGAGAGUUCAUAUCGAUGAAAAUGUUUGCCACCUCGAUGUUGAAUU
Molecule: ribosomal RNA, 479 nt
Filed under: Aurelia marginalis
Lineage: Eukaryota; Metazoa; Cnidaria; Scyphozoa; Semaeostomeae; Ulmaridae
Description: partial large subunit ribosomal RNA
Rfam family: Bacterial large subunit ribosomal RNA
Source: RNAcentral